UCAAGUGAAGAAGCGCAUACGGUGGAUGCCUUGGCAGUCAGAGGCGAUGAAAGACGUGGUAGCCUGCGAUAAGCUUUGGGGAGUCGGCAAACAGACUGUGAUCCAGAGAUCUCUGAAUGGGGGAACCCACUCAGCAUAAGCUGAGUAUCUUGUACUGAAUACAUAGGUGCAAGAGGCGAACCAGGGGAACUGAAACAUCUAAGUACCCUGAGGAAAAGAAAUCAACCGAGAUUCCCUUAGUAGUGGCGAGCGAACGGGGACCAGCCCUUAAGUUGGUUUGAGAUUAGUGGAACGCUCUGGAAAGUGCGGCCAUAGUGGGUGAUAGCCCCGUACACGAAAAUCUCUUAUCAAUGAAAUCGAGUAGGACGGAGCACGAGAAACUUUGUCUGAAUAUGGGGGGACCAUCCUCCAAGGCUAAAUACUACUGACUGACCGAUAGUGAACUAGUACCGUGAGGGAAAGGCGAAAAGAACCCCGGAGAGGGGAGUGAAAUAGAUCCUGAAACCGUAUGCGUACAAGCAGUGGGAGCCUACUUUGUUAGGUGACUGCGUACCUUUUGUAUAAUGGGUCAGCGACUUAUAUUCAGUGGCGAGCUUAACCGAAUAGGGGAGGCGUAGCGAAAGCGAGUCUUAAUAGGGCGUUUAGUCGCUGGGUAUAGACCCGAAACCGGGCGAUCUAUCCAUGGGCAGGUUGAAGGUUAGGUAACACUGACUGGAGGACCGAACCGACUACCGUUGAAAAGUUAGCGGAUGACCUGUGGAUCGGAGUGAAAGGCUAAUCAAGCUCGGAGAUAGCUGGUUCUCCUCGAAAGCUAUUUAGGUAGCGCCUCAUGUAUCACUGUAGGGGGUAGAGCACUGUUUCGGCUAGGGGGUCAUCCCGACUUACCAAACCGAUGCAAACUCCGAAUACCUACAAGUGCCGAGCAUGGGAGACACACGGCGGGUGCUAACGUCCGUCGUGAAAAGGGAAACAACCCAGACCGUCAGCUAAGGUCCCAAAGUCAUGGUUAAGUGGGAAACGAUGUGGGAAGGCUUAGACAGCUAGGAGGUUGGCUUAGAAGCAGCCACCCUUUAAAGAAAGCGUAAUAGCUCACUAGUCGAGUCGGCCUGCGCGGAAGAUGUAACGGGGCUCAAACCAUGCACCGAAGCUACGGGUAUCAACCUUNNNNNNNNNNNNNNNNNNNNNNNNNNNNNNNNNNNNNNNNNNNNNNNNNNNNNNNNNNNNNNNNNNNNNNNNNNNNNNNNNNNNNNNNNNNNGGUGAUGCGGUAGAGGAGCGUUCUGUAAGCCUGUGAAGGUGAGUUGAGAAGCUUGCUGGAGGUAUCAGAAGUGCGAAUGCUGACAUGAGUAACGACAAUGGGAGUGAAAAACUCCCACGCCGAAAGACCAAGGUUUCCUGCGCAACGUUAAUCGACGCAGGGUUAGUCGGUCCCUAAGGCGAGGCUGAAAAGCGUAGUCGAUGGAAAACAGGUUAAUAUUCCUGUACUUCCAGUUAUUGCGAUGGAGGGACGGAGAAGGCUAGGCCAGCUUGGCGUUGGUUGUCCAAGUUUAAGGUGGUAGGCUGAGAUCUUAGGCAAAUCCGGGAUCUCAAGGCCGAGAGCUGAUGACGAGUUGCCUUUAGGCGACGAAGUGGUUGAUGCCAUGCUUCCAAGAAAAGCUCCUAAGCUUCAGAUAACUGGGAACCGUACCCCAAACCGACACAGGUGGUUAGGUAGAGAAUACCAAGGCGCUUGAGAGAACUCGGGUGAAGGAACUAGGCAAAAUGGCACCGUAACUUCGGGAGAAGGUGCGCCGGCGAGGGUUAAGGACUUGCUCCGUAAGCCCAUGCCGGUCGAAGAUACCAGGCCGCUGCGACUGUUUAUUAAAAACACAGCACUCUGCAAACACGAAAGUGGACGUAUAGGGUGUGACGCCUGCCCGGUGCCGGAAGGUUAAUUGAUGGGGUUAGCGCAAGCGAAGCUCUUGAUCGAAGCCCCGGUAAACGGCGGCCGUAACUAUAACGGUCCUAAGGUAGCGAAAUUCCUUGUCGGGUAAGUUCCGACCUGCACGAAUGGCGUAACGAUGGCGGCGCUGUCUCCACCCGAGACUCAGUGAAAUUGAAAUCGCUGUGAAGAUGCAGUGUAUCCGCGGCUAGACGGAAAGACCCCGUGAACCUUUACUAUAGCUUUGCACUGGACUUUGAAUUUGCUUGUGUAGGAUAGGUGGGAGGCUUUGAAGUGGGGACGCCAGUUCUCAUGGAGCCAUCCUUGAAAUACCACCCUGGCAACUUUGAGGUUCUAACUCAGGUCCGUUAUCCGGAUCGAGGACAGUGUAUGGUGGGUAGUUUGACUGGGGCGGUCUCCUCCCAAAGAGUAACGGAGGAGUACGAAGGUGCGCUCAGACCGGUCGGAAAUCGGUCGUAGAGUAUAAAGGCAAAAGCGCGCUUGACUGCGAGACAAACACGUCGAGCAGGUACGAAAGUAGGUCUUAGUGAUCCGGUGGUUCUGUAUGGAAGGGCCAUCGCUCAACGGAUAAAAGGUACUCCGGGGAUAACAGGCUGAUACCGCCCAAGAGUUCAUAUCGACGGCGGUGUUUGGCACCUCGAUGUCGGCUCAUCACAUCCUGGGGCUGAAGCCGGUCCCAAGGGUAUGGCUGUUCGCCAUUUAAAGUGGUACGCGAGCUGGGUUUAGAACGUCGUGAGACAGUUCGGUCCCUAUCUGCCGUGGACGUUUGAGAUUUGAGAGGGGCUGCUCCUAGUACGAGAGGACCGGAGUGGACGAACCUCUGGUGUUCCGGUUGUCACGCCAGUGGCAUUGCCGGGUAGCUAUGUUCGGAAGAGAUAACCGCUGAAAGCAUCUAAGCGGGAAACUUGCCUCAAGAUGAGAUCUCACUGGGAUCUUGAAUCCCCUAAAGGGCCGUCGAAGACUACGACGUUGAUAGGUUGGGUGUGUAAGCGCUGUGAGGCGUUGAGCUAACCAAUACUAAUUGCCCGUGAGGCUUGACCA
RNAcentral lists this ribosomal RNA (2981 nucleotides) under Pseudomonas putida. RNAcentral's name for it is "23S ribosomal RNA". It matches the Rfam family "Bacterial large subunit ribosomal RNA". Lineage: Bacteria; Pseudomonadati; Pseudomonadota; Gammaproteobacteria; Pseudomonadales; Pseudomonadaceae. The record is from RNAcentral.